RNAcentral lists this ribosomal RNA (262 nucleotides) under uncultured Oscillibacter sp. RNAcentral describes it as "partial 16S ribosomal RNA". It matches the Rfam family "Bacterial small subunit ribosomal RNA", at positions 78 to 339 of the family's 1533-position model. Lineage: Bacteria; Bacillati; Bacillota; Clostridia; Eubacteriales; Oscillospiraceae. The record is from RNAcentral.
AAUUGAAGCAGAGGACAGUGGCGGACGGGUGAGUAACGCGUGAGGAACCUGCCUUUUCAGAGGGGGACAACAGUUGGAAACAGAUGCUAAUACCGCAUGACACAUAGGUGUCGCAUGGCACUUAUGUCAAAGAUUUAUCGCUGAAAAAUGGCCUCGCGUCUGAUUAGCUAGUUGGUGAGGUAACGGCCCACCAAGGCGACGAUCAGUAGCCGGACUGAGAGGUUGAACGGCCACAUUGGGACUGAGAUACGGCCCAGACUCC